Molecule: ribosomal RNA, 377 nt
Filed under: uncultured bacterium
Lineage: Bacteria
Description: bacterial SSU rRNA
Rfam family: Bacterial small subunit ribosomal RNA
Source: RNAcentral
UAAGACGUAGGAUGCAAGCGUUGUCCGGAUUUAUUGGGCGUAAAGAGUUCGUAGGCGGUUUGGUAAGUCUGAUGUUAAAGAUCGGGGCUCAACCCCGGGAGUGCAUUGGAUACUGCCAGACUCGAGUAUGGUAGAGGCAAGUGGAAUUCCCAGUGUAGCGGUGAAAUGCGUAGAUAUUGGGAAGAACACCGGUGGCGCAAGCGACUUGCUGGGCCAUUACUGACGCUGAGGAACGAAAGCUAGGGGAGCGAAUGGGAUUAGAUACCCCAGUAGUCCUAGCCGUAAACGAUGAAUACUAGGCGUAGUGGGUAUCGACCCCCGCUGUGCCGCAGCUAACGCGAUAAGUAUUCCGCCUGAGUAGUACGGCCGCAAGGUUG